This 1157-nucleotide unclassified non-coding RNA is filed under the name Hevea brasiliensis (rubber tree). The record is from RNAcentral. Lineage: Eukaryota; Viridiplantae; Streptophyta; Magnoliopsida; Malpighiales; Euphorbiaceae.
UGACUCCAUAGUAUCUUUUAAUAAAAAAACACUCUGCUCUAAGACAUAAUACACCUUAUACUUACAAAUAUACAUGUGAGAGAUCGCAUAUGUGCUCUGAACCAACAGAAAAAUUUCUAACAAAAUGAAAUACAUCUCACAAGUCAGUUGAACUCCAACACAAGCAUUAAGCAUCAUGAAAUUAAGUGAAAUCCUUUAUCAGGACUAACAAACUUAAGAAAUUAAUACAAAUCCACAGGGAUUUUAGAUGAAGAAAAACAUCCAACAUCAAGUCCCUACUAGAAAAUUCAAACACCGAAGCAAAAAUAUCAAAUACCUAAACCAAGUUUUUCGUGUAUCUCCACAACUUCGGUGCUUCUAGUUGAAUUUAACCUUGAAUGGAGGAUGUGUGAGCUCUUGAUAUAAUACUAAUAAUGCUUACUCCUGUUCAUAUUCAAACGAAAGAACCUCCUCUGAAACAUCCAACAACUCCUCAACUUCUAUUUCUUUUGCCUCGUACUCCUCUUCUUCAUCACUGGCUUCUCCAUCCCUUAACUUCUGUCUCUCCAAUUUUUCUUCCUCAAGCAACCGUUUCCACUCGUUCACCCAUUUGUCCCAUUCAUCCUUCAACAUUCUCCGCUUCUCACGGUCCUGCUCACUCAAUUGCAAUGAAACAUCUUGGUCCUCUGCCUCAUAUUUCUUACUAUACUUCUUCAAAUUGUUUGCUAUUUCUUCCUCCUUCUCAGGAGUCAAGAAGGACGGUGGCCUUGGGCGCCACAAGAACUGGAAGAAAUGAUCCUUAAGGAUCCGAUAAAGUAGCUUGCCAUUGAAAGACCAGAUAUUGAAUCCAUUUUCCAUUUCAUGAUGAACCGAAGUCACUGAAGUUGCAACAUACCUCCCAGUAGGAUCCCAUUCAAUAUCUGUUGCCAUAAAAUGCUCAGUUGUUGCCAUGGUCUCGAGCUCAUCAACAUUAUAGAAUUCCAACUGUCCGUUAAAACCCUUCAAUCCAGCAAGUAUUAUAUAGUGGCCAGUAGGUGACCAGAAAAGAGCAUUUGCCUGUUUGCCUUUGAGAGUAGUGAGCUUUGAAACCCGGCCAGUGUUAUGAGCAGUCCUCAUUGAGUAAAAACUUACAUCAGGCCUUGGGCUAUCCCCAUGAAUAACAGCAAACCUGUGACCCU